GGGGCAGCCACCAACUCCUCUCAACUUCUGCCGCUCGGCUGGGCGAAGCAGAACGCUUCCUGCGCGUCUCUCCUAGGGGCUGAGCCGGGGGUACCUCACAUGUGGUCAGAGCUCACAUGUGACCAAGUCACGCUACAGUGAAUCCAGGACUCCUCAAGGGUCAGGCCACAGCCGUCAUCCAUCACCACCUCAUGGCGGCUCUCCCGGCAAUGUUCGGACUGAGCUUCCAAGCAGUCCCACACCUGGACUGUUCUCCUACACAAAAACCUGUGCAGUCCUAUUUCUUCCUAAUGCACAGCCCAAUUACUUCUUAAACUAUGUCCAAAGGACAACUUGUAAGAGGGCUACUAGCACCUGUGUAGUAAUGUGGGUUUCUCUCUCUCUCUCUUUUUUUCUUUUUUUUUGCAUAAAAACAAUGUUAUUUCUUCCCUGCUCUGGUAAUAUCUGAUUAAAUCAAUUCAUUCUAGUUUUGUGCUAGAAAUGAUUCGGUUUGUUUUGGCUAUGUUAACAAUAUUUAGGAGACAUUUGCUUAAUAGUUCUGUAUUAAUAGCUAAACCCUCGGUGUUUUAUGCCCCUAAGAAGCUGAGUGUUAUUUUUACCUGCUUGUCUCUCAGUCAGGGAAGCACUGAAAAGACAUCUAGACAUUUUUUUUUCUCAGUGGCCUAUAAUGAAAACCAAACUUCUGUGGAGAAGGGGACAGACGGAUAUAGUAGUAGAACCAUGAAGGUACUAAGAUACUCUUUCUAAAAUGCUAUCACAAGAGAAAUUAACUUUUUCUUCUUGGUUGAGAUUGUACACUCCACUCCUUUCCUCCUUUUCAAAUCUUUCAUAAAGGCUCAUCUUUUCCUGGAAAAAUCUCUCCUAAAUCUCCCAAGGCCAGCUGGAAAUCAAUUCAGUCUAUCCGGUGCAAGAACUUAACACACAUUUUCUUCCAUUAGCUCUUGUAUAGCAACUACUGUAAGCCCCAUGCUGCACUAGGCAUUCUGGACCAGAAAAUGAGAAGACAUAUAUCCCUGCCCUAAUGACACGUCUUCCACGAAGAGAUGGCUAUAAAUUCAGGUACUAUCAGGCAUCAGAUGCAUUGUUUCUUCGAGAUUGAAUAUAGCUAUAAUCAAUGGUUUAGAGUCAGGUAGGCCACAUAAGAAGUAUCUACCAAUAUAGAUAGACAGGGAGACCCUGGAGGCUCUAGGGCCUGGACCAGAAGCAUAGUAGCCUGCAUUCAAGUAAGACUGGGGACACAUUCUUAAUCAAAAUACCAAAGUUCUUCUGUACCUUGGAAGCUUUUUUGGGUGAGAAGUUUUGCAACCUUGGCCCUUCAAACUCAUUAUGUAUGGAUGUCCCGUUGCGAUCUCUGCUGUUUCAGAGGUAGCCCCUCCUGAAAGUGCAUCGUGAGCAGAUGCCAUCUGUUUCCUUUCUGGACUAUUUAACCACCCUGGUCUCAAUUCUUCUCUUCCAAGAAGGUUUUAUUUCUUUUGUAAAUUUAGACUUUGCUAGAUUUUUUAAAUUUAAAACUUCACCCCUCUAGGGUAAUAGUAAUAUUUUGCUGUGUAUCCUCCAUUUUUUGCUCAUGCAAAUGCAUAUAUAAUCAUUUAUAUAACAUUUGUUUAUAUAAAUGCAUAUAUAACCCCUAAGUAUGUGCAGUUGGUAUGCAUUGCAUAGAAGUAGAAUCAUAUUACAUGCAUUACUUUCCAGGUUGUUACAUGUAAAUCCAGGUUAUGACUUUUAAGAGCAAUGUAACAUCUUACUGUAUGGAUAAAACACACUUUUCAAAACCCCCUUGGAAGAGAAGAAUUGGAUAAACCCCACUGAUGGACUUUCCAGUUGUUUCUCAUUCCCAAUAUUGCAAUAAAUGUUCUUUUAUGUAUAUCCUUA
Manis javanica (Malayan pangolin) is the source of this 1872-nucleotide long non-coding RNA. RefSeq lists it as uncharacterized. The record is from RefSeq and is a predicted model, not a curated record. NCBI's taxonomy places the organism in Eukaryota, Metazoa, Chordata, Mammalia, Pholidota, Manidae.